This 909-nucleotide ribosomal RNA is filed under the name bacterium TSA125. RNAcentral describes it as "bacterial SSU rRNA". It matches the Rfam family "Bacterial small subunit ribosomal RNA", at positions 434 to 1354 of the family's 1533-position model. The record is from RNAcentral.
UUCAGUAGGGAAGAAGCGAAAGUGACGGUACCUGCAGAAGAAGCACCGGCUAACUACGUGCCAGCAGCCGCGGUAAUACGUAGGGUGCGAGCGUUAUCCGGAAUUAUUGGGCGUAAAGAGCUCGUAGGCGGUUUGUCGCGUCUGUCGUGAAAGUCCGGGGCUUAACCCCGGAUCUGCGGUGGGUACGGGCAGACUAGAGUGCAGUAGGGGAGACUGGAAUUCCUGGUGUAGCGGUGGAAUGCGCAGAUAUCAGGAGGAACACCGAUGGCGAAGGCAGGUCUCUGGGCUGUAACUGACGCUGAGGAGCGAAAGCAUGGGGAGCGAACAGGAUUAGAUACCCUGGUAGUCCAUGCCGUAAACGUUGGGCACUAGGUGUGGGGACCAUUCCACGGUUUCCGCGCCGCAGCUAACGCAUUAAGUGCCCCGCCUGGGGAGUACGGCCGCAAGGCUAAAACUCAAAGGAAUUGACGGGGGCCCGCACAAGCGGCGGAGCAUGCGGAUUAAUUCGAUGCAACGCGAAGAACCUUACCAAGGCUUGACAUGUUCUCGAUCGCCGUAGAGAUACGGUUUCCCCUUUGGGGCGGGUUCACAGGUGGUGCAUGGUUGUCGUCAGCUCGUGUCGUGAGAUGUUGGGUUAAGUCCCGCAACGAGCGCAACCCUCGUUCCAUGUUGCCAGCACGUAAUGGUGGGGACUCAUGGGAGACUGCCGGGGUCAACUCGGAGGAAGGUGAGGACGACGUCAAAUCAUCAUGCCCCUUAUGUCUUGGGCUUCACGCAUGCUACAAUGGCCGGUACAAUGGGUUGCGAUACUGUGAGGUGGAGCUAAUCCCAAAAAGCCGGUCUCAGUUCGGAUUGGGGUCUGCAACUCGACCCCAUGAAGUCGGAGUCGCUAGUAAUCGCAGAUCAGCA